CUGACACCAAAUGUCUCACCUUGAAAAGUCAAUGCAACUAAUCAUUAUCAAGAAAGAAAAAGUGUUCCAUCCCACCAUCACGAGCCACUAAAAGAAUUCCAUCUCAAAAUCAGUACGCUAGUCACAUGCAACCCACUUGAAAGACACGUUAAAGAUGGCAUACACUAUUCACCUAAAAAAACCACUACAACUAGACAUCCUAUGUUACAGACAUUUAACCAGAGCUUUCAAUGACAGCAUCGAUCUUUAUGGUAGAACAGAACAUAUUGUUUAUCUGAGAGCAACAAAGUCAUGACUCAUCACAUGCACAUGCAAUUGCCCCCGAAACUAGUUGAUUACUAAGUUAGGAAGUUCUUUAACCAAGAUAGCUAUGACUCCACGAUGCAUAAUGCCACGAGAAGUCACUUCAAUCUAUGGGAGCACCAAGACAAAUGCACGCUGGUGGAUGAAUCAAACUCGAGAAAGUAACAGCACCAGAAUUCUCCCAGAUCCUCCCUCAUUGUAGCUUGAUAAAUCAAACGUAAAACAAGGGAGCCUCGCAGAGAUCAUUUCCCAGCAGCUGUACAGGUGAAGGUAUAUGCCAAGACAAGUUUCAAAUGUAUGAUCCAAGGAAAAAGAACGAAAAAAUGAAUGAAAAAAAGAAGAAGAAAAAAGCACAGCAUAUAUCAAGAGAUGCAAGAGGGUAAAUUUUUCCCAGCAAGCCUACCGUACAGAAUCGUUCUUGAAAACACGGAAAAGGAAAGGACCCAAGCAAACACAUGCGAAGUUUGAAAUCAACCGCCAGGAUUGUUUCAAGACAACCUCGACAUGACAUGCAUAUUUGAAGCAAGGGUAUAUAAUGCCUUGUCAGGUUGAGCCUCUUCCGUCAAUUAAAUGCAACACCGAAAGUAAAGCAGCCACCGAUAUCUUCUGUACCAAUUGACAAAGAAUAUGCUUCAGCUCCAGUAACAACAUGCUUUAGAAGAGGUUGG
Molecule: long non-coding RNA, 971 nt
Filed under: Eucalyptus grandis
Lineage: Eukaryota; Viridiplantae; Streptophyta; Magnoliopsida; Myrtales; Myrtaceae
Description: long non-coding RNA (EGRA_LNC006561)
Source: RNAcentral